RNAcentral lists this ribosomal RNA (232 nucleotides) under uncultured bacterium. RNAcentral describes it as "partial 16S ribosomal RNA". It matches the Rfam family "Bacterial small subunit ribosomal RNA", at positions 100 to 339 of the family's 1533-position model. The record is from RNAcentral.
GGACGGGUGAGUAACGCGUAGGAAUCUGCCCGUACGUGGGGGAUACCAGUUGGAAACGACUGUUAAUACCGCAUAAUACCUAAGGGUUAAAGGUGGCCAUUGUGCUACCGCGUACGGAUGAGCCUGCGUUGGAUUAGCUAGUUGGUGGGGUAAAGGCCUACCAAGGCUACGAUCCAUAGCUGAUUUGAGAGGAUGAUCAGCCACACUGGAACUGAGACACGGUCCAGACUCC